UGAACUCAAAUUAUAUUGAGUUGAAAUGUUUGCCUACGUUUGCCGCUAGGGGCGCUGUUCCAGCUGCGUACAAAUUUGAGUUA
This 83-nucleotide microRNA precursor is filed under the name Bombyx mori (domestic silkworm). RNAcentral's name for it is "mir-2807 microRNA precursor family". It matches the Rfam family "mir-2807 microRNA precursor family". The record is from Rfam by way of RNAcentral. Lineage: Eukaryota; Metazoa; Arthropoda; Insecta; Lepidoptera; Bombycidae.